UCUAUGAAUGUUACGAAUAUAUUUUCAUAAUGUCUCCGGUCAAAGGACAUAACGAUGUUGUUUGUAGGUUAUGCAUUCAUUAUUAGCUAGAAAAAUGGCGUGAUAAAGAUGAAAAAUUCGCAAAGAGUCUAAUGGGUUCAAACAGCUCGAAAUUCGUGAAAAAUAUUUUUCCACAUUUUAACAGUUCAAAUGAUCAUGACGUUACAGAUAUUUCCGACGGUUGUGUUAAACUAAGAAGUCCAUGUAUUGUUAUCUCAAGGAAGGGGUCUAUGUAUUUUGAUGAAGAUGGAGACUUGGCUCAUGAGUUCUAUGUGGAAAUUCCACCACCCAGAAAAGGUUGCAAAGCCACAAUGAAGAAAGUUAUGCACAACUUAAUCCCACAGGGAGAAGUUGCUCAUCCAUUCCCACGCUUACACUUUGAUUUUCCUGUCAUCCUGCACCAUGUAUGAAGAAAUUUCUACAUCACACAUGCAUAACUUGUAAAUAGUAAAUAUAGGCUCAACAAUGACUAGUUGAGGUUGUCUGUUUUAUUUGGUAAUAUAAAAAAAAAAAUGUUUGAAGGGAUUUUACACCCUCAUUCAUGGAACAUGAAAAAAAAAAUUCAAGUUUUAAUAUUAUUUAUAAAUAAUUUUUUUGCUGAUUUGGUUUUGGUUUGUUUAAUCUCUUUGUUUAAUUUAACCCACAAAAUAUAUUUAAAGUUGUUUCAAACACUAAAUAAUAUUUUUAUUGCUUGUGCAAAACCUUUAUUUGCAGGUUGUGUUUACCAAAAUUGGUUCAAGUAUAUAAAUGCAUUACCAAUUCAUUUACAUUCUUGAAUUUUAUGUGAAUGAUGCAAAGUACAUACUGUGUUGCCUUAUAGGUGAAGAUAUCUGUAGAAAUGUUUUUGUAAAAAUGUAUAUUUAAAUGAUUUUUAAUUUGUUUUGCAAGACUGGUGUGAAACCAAUUUUCUAUCUGUUUUAUGAUCCCAAAAUAUUUUGCAUACAACCAGCUAUAUUGGCCUACAUAUUUUAAUAAGUUAACAAUAAAAACCAAACAUUUCAAUAGUGAAAACUUUUCAAAUGAAUGAGGAUUGUGUGGAACAAUGUCAUUAUUAAGAAUAAAACCACUUUUAUCAAAUAUAAUGUGCAAAACAAUUGUUUUGUUUCUGUAAGUUGUAAUUAUAUUUUUUAUCUUUAUUUUAGUAUCUGAUAACUUGUCAUGUGUUAAUAAAGAAGUAUUGCCGGCUUUCACCACCAUUGUCUGAAGUUGCUUGAGUUCUGGGUUGUAGCAGCAUCGAAGGCGAAGAUUUCACUGACAUUUUGGUUGACCUUACAGUCGCCAUCUUCAGGGUAGCAUUCACCGACUAUGUCUGUGAAAUAUUCGCCUUCGGGGCAGUUAGAACCGAGAAGCCAAGCAACUUGUAAUGUGUUAAUUUUUGAUUAUAAAUUCAUUUAUUUACUGUCACAGUUUGUGUGUUAAUGUAUCACUAAGAAUUUAUAUUUAAUCACAAUUUUUAAAAAUUUAAAUUGAAUGGUUAGAGCACUGAUUGGAAGUAAUGUAGUCUUAUGUAUAUAAAUGAGUAUCUUGUAUAGUGGUUACAUUGUAAAUGAUUUAAAUUGUUUUAUGUAAUAUAGUUCACAGGAUUUGUCACCUUGAAAUGCAGGAUUGUGAUACACAUUCCUUAAAAUUAUUUGUCCUUAUUUAUUUUAUUUGUUAGUAAACACUUACAGCAAAAGUGAGUGGCUAAAUAAGUACCUAAUGUAUACACGAUAAAAAAAAUAUGUUUUCAUGUAUUUUAAACAGUAUCUGUUACAAAGUAUUUUGUUAAUUAAUUUUAAAGUUUUUGCUGUAGAAAUAUGACUAAAGUGAGGUAUGAAAUAUUUUAUUGCAUUAUAAUAUUUGGCAAUUUUUAAUAUUCUGUUUGGAAAAGAUUUUGUGCAUUAUUUUCUAUAAUGAAUUGGUUUUCAGAUGUUAAGGAAAAAAUUAACCUAUUUUCAUUAUUUUUGAAGUAAACUUUAACUCAUACAUAUUUUAUUGUUGAGAAAUCUGUCAAGUAGUAAUAUUUCGUUGCUUGUUUCAUAUACAGAUCAGGUUAUUGUUUUUAUACAUGCAGAGUUAGUUAAUAAAUAUGUGAUAAACCUAAUAAAACUGUUUUUCCUAUAUUAUCACAUGUAUUUAAAUGAUUUCUUUUUUUUUUGAAGUGAAACUUCUUUGCUUGAGGGGGCUGCAAUUUUCGAAUGUUACGAAAAUUCCUAUUACAUGAGAGUAACAGUUUCGUACGUGGUGAGGGAACCGGUAGAGGAGUAGUGUGCGUCAGCGGCGACGCCACUUCAACGCAUGCACUAGUGGUCGAAUGGGAAGAUGACAGAAGGAGGGGGGGGGGUUAUAGACAUUUAGCAUAGUAUGCUAUAUGCUAGUUGUUACAGCCGUAAGUGGAGACGGCAGGAGAGCAGUAGAAAGGACGUAGCAUAAAUGCUGCUUGUGUUUGUCUAUUACUCAGUUGUCAUAAAGGCUAACGAAUGAAGUUACCACAUUUCUUUUAUUUUGU
Long non-coding RNA from Bacillus rossius redtenbacheri, 2527 nucleotides. RefSeq lists it as uncharacterized. The transcript has 3 exons. NCBI's taxonomy places the organism in Eukaryota, Metazoa, Arthropoda, Insecta, Phasmatodea, Bacillidae. The record is from RefSeq and is a predicted model, not a curated record.